This 497-nucleotide ribosomal RNA is filed under the name uncultured bacterium. Its description in RNAcentral is "partial 16S ribosomal RNA". It matches the Rfam family "Bacterial small subunit ribosomal RNA", at positions 28 to 507 of the family's 1533-position model. The record is from RNAcentral.
GAUGAACGCUGGCGGCGUGCCUAAUACAUGCAAGUCGAGCGAACAGACGAGGUUCUUGCUCCCCUGACGUUACCGGCGGACGGGUGAGUAACACGUGGAUAACCUGUCUAUAAGACUGGGAUAACUUCGGGAAACUGGAGCUAAUAUCGGACCAUAUAUUGAACCGGAUGGUUCAAUAGUGAAAGCCGGUUUUGCUGUCACUUAUAGAUGGUUCCUAGCUGCAUUAGCUAGUUGGUAAGGUAACGGCUUACCAAGGCUACGAUGCGUAGCCGACCUGAGAGGGUGAUCGGCCACACUGGAACUGAGACACGGUCCAGACUCCUACGGGAGGCAGCAGUAGGGAAUCUUCCACAAUGGGCGAAAGCCUGACGGAGCAACGCCGCGUGAGUGAUGAAGGUCUUCGGAUCGUAAAACUCUGUUGUUGGGGAAGAACAAGUGUGUAACUAACUAUGCGCGUCUUGACGGUACCUACACAGAAAGCAACGGCUAACUACGUG